GUGUUCCUACGGGGCGCAGCAGUGGGGAAUAUUGCACAAUGGGGGGAACCCUGAUGCAGCGACGCCGCGUGGGUGAAGAAGUCAUUCGUGACGUAAAGCCCUAUCAGCAGGGAAGAAAAUGACGGUACCUGACUAAGAAGCCCCGGCUAACUACGUGCCAGCAGCCGCGGUAAUACGUAGGGGGCAAGCGUUGUCCGGAUUUACUGGGUGUAAAGGGAGCGUAGACGGCGGCGCAAGUCCGGAGUGAAAGCCCACGGCCCAACCGUGGGGCUGCUCUGGAAACGUUGCGGCUU
Molecule: ribosomal RNA, 293 nt
Filed under: uncultured bacterium
Lineage: Bacteria
Description: partial 16S ribosomal RNA
Rfam family: Bacterial small subunit ribosomal RNA
Source: RNAcentral